Molecule: non-coding RNA, 1364 nt
Organism: Anas platyrhynchos (mallard)
Lineage: Eukaryota; Metazoa; Chordata; Aves; Anseriformes; Anatidae
Source: RefSeq, a predicted model, not a curated record
GCUCACAUAACAGAAAUAUGACCCUUGUGCACCUUUUGUAGUUAAUUCAUUAGGUCAACUGUAACCACUAAGCCCCUUGUCAGGUUAUUUCUACAAGUGAUAAGGAGCAAUAGACCUUAAAACUUUGAAGCCAGGUAGAUGAGCUUAUUCCACAAGGUCUCUUGGCUUCACCCUUGUUAAGUGCAACCUGCCAGGUGUGGGUCAUUUGACCUUUGUUAUAUAGGAAGCCUGAGGACGGGUGGGGGAAUUGCCUCCCCAGGAGAAACUGAGGCUUGGGUAGCCUAGGGUGUUUUUCUCUCGUGGUGAAUCGGGCUCAGUGUUCCCUACUAGGCUGCUUUUCCUUCAAGUUUUCUGCCCUCUCUGUGAAAUAGUUUUAGAGACUCUAUGAGCCAGUUACAUUGGUGGUGCCUUCUUCAGAAGAACCCUGGUGGGACUAUUUCACUGCGAAGCACGUUGGAAGUGACUCGAGUUCAGGAGACAGCAGGUGGCUUCUAAGCUCCCUUCCAAGCACUGGAGGAAAAAAAAGGCCUCAGAAGUCCAAGUGCACACAGGUUCGGUACCCUGAAUCCGACCGGUCCCAUAACGGUUAAUCAGCUACACCCCUUAAUGCGACACUAAUGAAGGAGCACGGAAGAGACGCAUGUCCUUACCUCUGGAGAGGAGGUUCCUUGCACAGCCAGUGCAAGGAACACAAAAAUCAGUUGCGCCAGACUAACGUGGUUGUAUCUGAGCUUGGAGGCUGCAACCCUCUUCAGACUUCCAGAUCUAGAGGAACACUUUGGCUGCAGCCUAAAAGCCACGUGUACAGGAGCUCCCCCAAGCCAGCCAAUCUUCUUCCCAUGACCUGCCAGGAAACAGCAAGGUAGGCAUGUACCCAAAUCAAAACCCAAACCUUUGGCCCAGUCCUUGACCUGAAUAGUGAGUGACGAUCCGGAUCCUGGCAUUCAUACCUGACAGCUUAUACGCAGUGGAAGUAAACAGUGUAGUCAGAGGUCACGGGGCUAGAUUUUGGAAAGUCCUGCAUCAAGAAGACAUCUCAGAAAAGCAAAUUUAAAUACCAUUAAUGCCAAGAAAAGUAACUCUGAUGGCUAUAUUCUUUAUGUGUCAUGACUAGACAGAUGAAAAACUAUGAGAGCAAUUUUGCCUUUAAGGUCAUUUUCUUUUUUCUUUGAUGUCUUUUCUUUCGUUUGUUUGUCUGUUUGUUUGUUUAUUUAUUUAUUUAAACAGGCUCUGUACUACUUGUCCUCACAGAAUGACUAACAGAAAUAUGACCCUUGUGCACUUUUUGUAGUUAAUUCAUUAGGUCAGCUCUAACCACUAAGCCCCUUGUCAGGUUAUUUCUAGUAGUGACAAGGAGCAAUUAA